GGGACUCUUCUGUUUCUGCCAUAUCCAUAUCCUCACACGCAAAGUGAAGAAAGCGAUGGGCCACAUGUUCAGCACUGAGGUCCUUAUGCUUCCAUGGAGCAGGAAUUUUUUGUGACCGUGUCUAUUACUGAACCAGAGCUCAGCAAGUAGGCAAGGCUGGCUGACCAGUAAGCUCCCUGUGUCCACCUCCCCAGUGCUGGGAUUACAAGUGCUAGGCCACCACGUCCAGCUUUUUAAGAGGGUGCUGAGAGUCAGACCUGCAUCUGUGUGCUUGCAAAUCAAGCUGUUUACAAAUGGGGCUACAUCUCCACACCAAGUUUUUAUGCGUGGAUGUGGACCACGAGUGAAGAAUUUGUUCCUCCCAGGGAGUCAGCUGGGAUUGCAGCUGUCUGCCACCCUUUCCAGUCUCACCUCUGACCUCAGCAGGCAGGUCUACUCCUCCUCACCAUUCGACUCUGCAGCCUUCAGGGGGGUCUUGGUUGUGCUGUGUGCUUCUCAGGAACUGUUGGUCCCUGGUCAUCCUCCUCCAAGUAACUAUGGUGGCUUUUGUUGUCUUCCUUCCUGUUGUGGAAGAUAACAAGAAGCCUGCUGUGUGUGCACCUUCCAUGACUCAUGCACACUCAGAAUAUUGAUUCUGUGCUCUGUGGAAGUUCUGAUGGGUGUUGUGCACAGUCAGACCUAGCUGUGUUUCCUGAGUGCUUGGAUAUGGCAAUGUCUUCCAAGAUGUAUCAGUGAUUCAUGCCAGAAUCGGCUGCUUUAGAGAACCUGAGCCCAAGUCUACACACAGUAUGCCACUGAGUUUCUGUGAGGGAUUUUUAGGUGAUUGGAAGUGUCUUAAGCCAGUCCCUUGUCUGCUGGUAUAACCUGUGCUCUGUACCACUUACAAUGCCUGCUCAAGUUGUCACAGUCUCUUCUGUUCCAAAUGUGUCCUCAGCAGGGGGCACAUGACCCUGUAAAGGUGCUUCUGGUCCUUCAGAUGAGCACAACAGGAAUGAAAAAGCAGACAAUGAUCAGCUCACACAGGGUUUGAUUCUAUAGUCCCUGUCCCCACUGCACAAAGUACCAGUGUAAGAAUAGGGACACAACACAGGCUUGGGUGGCCGGAGUGGGUCUCCUGAGGAUGUGACAUGGAGAUGCAACUCAGUGUCCAGAAGGACCCAUGUCUGUCCAGAAAGUGCCCAUCAGAGGGGCCAAUUUCAAAUAUCUUUGUAGGAGCGUAAAGGAAAUGAGAAGUGCAAGCCAGUUUCUCUAUUGUAUGCACAGGCCAUCUGAAAAAAUAACUCACCAACGCAACAGUGCUGGAAGUGUGUUCAGGAGAUGGCUCAGUGUGUAAAGUGUUCGUCGUCUAAGUAUAGGGUACAGACUUAGUACAUCCAGUACCCACAUAAGUGCCCAGUAGGCAUAAUGGCCUUCUUGUAAUGCCAGAGCUCAGGAUAUAGAGACAGGGGAUCCCUGGAGAAAGCUGCUAGCUAGACUAGCCAAACUGGUGAGCUAUGGUUUAAGUUAGAGACAUGCUUCAAUAUACAAGGUGAAGGGCAAUUGAGGAAGACAUAUGUUAUCAACCUGUGGUAUCUACACAUAGGUGUACCCAUGUGCAUACAAACGUGUAUACACAUGCAUAUGCAAUAAAAAAGAAAAAUGCAUCAUGGCCAGGAGGGAUUUAUCCUUAGAAACAUCAUUCAUAGAUGAAGAAGACCUCAGGGGUCACAGAAAGAGCACCUAUACACUUAUAGAGAAACACUUCAAAAAUCGGGGCUAGAAAGACAUUUUCUUAGCUUUCUAAGAUCUGUGCAGACAAAAAAGGACAGUGAACAACAUUAUGGAGAAACAUUAGGUUGUUUAUGAUUAGGAUCAAGACAAGAGUGACUGACAUCCUGGGUAACCAACACAUAUCCUGAUCAAAGGAAUAGAGCCAGAAAACUAGAUUAAAGGAUGUAUGAUGUAAGGGUGUGAAAGAGAGAGACAAAGCCGCCAUCCUACAAUGUAAUUAUAUGGACAGAAAACCUAACAGAACCAUCAGAAAAAUUGUUAAAAUACUGGAUUAAAAGUUAACCCAUGUUUCUCAGUAGUAUUUCCCUCCUUAGUAGAAGACGGCUAGGCUUCAUAAUAGAAAGCGCUACUCAUAAUAGUAACACAUCUGUGUUAACUGACGGAGGAUAAAGAAGGCCUUUAUGAGAAAGAUAUAGAGGCUGGAGAGAUGGUUCAGCAGUGUAUAACACUUGUUGAGUUUUUAGAGGGCCCGAGUUUGGUUCCCAGCACCCACAUGAUGGCUCAUGAAUUCCUUAA
Non-coding RNA from Myodes glareolus (Bank vole), 2286 nucleotides. The record is from RefSeq and is a predicted model, not a curated record. NCBI's taxonomy places the organism in Eukaryota, Metazoa, Chordata, Mammalia, Rodentia, Cricetidae.